This 148-nucleotide small RNA is filed under the name Pongo abelii (Sumatran orangutan). Its description in RNAcentral is "Metazoan signal recognition particle RNA (ENSPPYG00000035809.1)". The record is from Rfam by way of RNAcentral. Lineage: Eukaryota; Metazoa; Chordata; Mammalia; Primates; Hominidae.
GCCGAGUGUGGUGGCGCACACCUGUAUUCCCAGCUACUUGGGAGGCUGAGGCAGGAGAAUCACUUGAACCCAGGAGACAGAGGUUGCAGUGAGCUGAGAUCGUGCCACUGCACUCCAGCCUGGGAGACAGAGUGAGACCCUGUCUCAA